This 166-nucleotide ribosomal RNA is filed under the name uncultured bacterium. RNAcentral describes it as "partial 16S rRNA". It matches the Rfam family "Bacterial small subunit ribosomal RNA", at positions 354 to 511 of the family's 1533-position model. The record is from RNAcentral.
GUAGGGAAUCUUCGGCAAUGGACGAAAGUCUGACCGAGCAACGCCGCGUGAGUGAAGAAGGUUUUCGGAUCGUAAAACUCUGUUGGUAGAGAAGAACGUUGGUGAGAGUGGAAAGCUCAUCAAGUGACGGUAACUACCCAGAAAGGGACGGCUAACUACGUGCCAC